GAAAUGCGAUAAGUAAUGCGAAUUGCAGAAUUCAGUGAAUCAUCGAAUCUUUGAACGCACAUUGCGCUCCUUGGUAUUCCUUGGAGCAUGCCUGUUUGAGUAUCAUGAAAUCUUCAAAGUAAAUCUUUUGUUAACUCAAUUGGUUUCUACUUUGGUAUUGGAGGUCUUUGCAGCUUCACACCUGCUCCUCUUUGUUCAUUAGCUGGAUCUCAGUGUUAUGCUUGGUUCCACUCGGCGUGAUAAGUUAUCUAUCGCUGAGGACACUGUAAAAGGUGGCCAAGGUAAAUGCAGAUGAACCGCUUCUAAUAGUCCAUUGACUUGGACAAUACUUUUAUGAUCUGAUCUCAAAUCAGGUAGGACUACCCGCUGAACUUAAGC
Molecule: unclassified non-coding RNA, 378 nt
Filed under: plant metagenome
Description: partial contains 5.8S ribosomal RNA, internal transcribed spacer 2, and large subunit ribosomal RNA
Rfam family: 5.8S ribosomal RNA (bases 1-105)
Source: RNAcentral